This is a long non-coding RNA of Meleagris gallopavo (turkey), 1293 nucleotides long. RefSeq lists it as uncharacterized. The record is from RefSeq and is a predicted model, not a curated record. NCBI's taxonomy places the organism in Eukaryota, Metazoa, Chordata, Aves, Galliformes, Phasianidae.
UUUCCCCUCACAGGAAUAAUGUAAAACAAGUUGAAAGCCUUGUGGGUCUGCAGGUGUGGCUUAGCUGAAGGGUAAAGAACAAAUGUAAUACUCUCAUUCACUGGAAUUUAUCUUCAGACUUGAUGACAAGUAUUCUGGCUAAAUACAAGCAAGUUGCCUCUUUCACAGGAAUACAUUUUUCCUGCCUCUCGGUCACACAAGAUCAAAGGGACAAGGUCCCUAUGAGCUUGAGAACAAAGUCAUUCAUGAGAUGAACUUUUGGUGCCCUUAGCAGUUGGGUGCUACCUGUCACUGAUGGGAGUCACACAGAGAUCAGAAACAGCACAACGGAAAGAAAAGAGCUGCUGCAGGAGUUACAAUGGCAGAUGAUGUGCAGCAGGUGCACUGACAGCUCCAACCAGCUAAAAGUGUUCCAGUUGUCCAGAUAAACAGUGUCCAAACCCUGCAGUCCUUGAAAGAUUUCUGUCCUUGUCCAUGGCUUUUCUGAAGAGAUUCCAGUCUCUGCAGUGCCUAUGCAGAGACUGCACUUGUGACUGUGAUGGGACAUGCCACUGGCCAAUAUCCAAAACGUAGUUUGUGGCACACCAUGUAUUCCUCAACUUCAGGCCCCAACACCCUCUCUGAAUUUUGAAGAAGACAACUUAUUUUCAUAUCCAUGGUACCAUAUGUGUUGAUGAGUGUCUGAUUAUAGCAACAUGGAUGUCUGUAUGAAUGAACUUACCCAAUAAAGACAUGACACCAAGUAAUUUCAGCCAUCAAAGUACUUAAUUUGGCAGCUAUCUGGGAUGAAGAUAGCUCAUAACUUUAAAAUGAUUUAACAGGAUAAGUGCCUAAAAAUUCUCCUUGUUGCUGCAUCAUUGAGUAAUGGGACAGAGAAAUACAUCGCUGAUAAAAUAUAAAUGACAUUCUCCACCUUCAAACUCUGCUGGAAUCUCUCCUGAUUGUCAAAAGGAUGAAUUACCUUGCUGCUCAGCCUUGGUGCAAUGCUGUAUAUGCUGGAUCUGAUCCAAGCUAGAAUGUAUCCUGAAAAUCUCCUCAGAAAAGUCCAUCUAAUUUAUUUCCCUUCUGGGAUCAAGAAAAUCAAAAUGGUCACAUUUUGCAUGGUGGUUUCCAGCACACAGAUAUUGGUAUUCCGCCCACAACAUGGAGACAAAAUUAAAGUUGCCAUGGAUUUAUUAGAGGUACAAUUUUAUGUGGCAUACUAUGACCUACCUUGUCUUUAUUUCAAAGUAAAGGCUUGCUAACAAUCUAGAGCAUCCCCUGGAAUUCUUUCCGGAAAGAACCAUCAGCAUG